GAUGAACGCUGGCGGCGUGCCUAAUACAUGCAAGUCGAGCGAAUGGAUUAAGAGCUUGCUCUUAUGAAGUUAGCGGCGGACGGGUGAGUAACACGUGGGUAACCUGCCCAUAAGACUGGGAUAACUCCGGGAAACCGGGGCUAAUACCGGAUAACAUUUUGAACCGCAUGGUUCGAAAUUGAAAGGCGGCUUCGGCUGUCACUUUUGGAUGGACCCGCGUCGCAUUAGCUAGUUGGUGAGGUAACGGCUCACCAAGGCAACGAUGCGGAGCCGACCUGAGAGGGUGAUCGGCCACACUGGGACUGAGACACGGCCCAGACUCCUACGGGAGGCAGCAGUAGGGAAUCUUCCGCAAUGGACGAAAGUCUGACGGAGCAACGCCGCGUGAGUGAUGAAGGCUUUCGGGUCGUAAAACUCUGUUGUUAGGGAAGAACAAGUGCUAGUUGAAUAAGCUGGCACCUUGACGGUACCUAACCAGAAAGCCACGGCUAACUACGUGCCAGCAGCCGCCGUAA
Molecule: ribosomal RNA, 515 nt
Filed under: uncultured bacterium
Lineage: Bacteria
Description: partial 16S ribosomal RNA
Rfam family: Bacterial small subunit ribosomal RNA
Source: RNAcentral